AGUUAAUGAACUUGAAUAAGUAUAUAUUUUGAAAAUAUAAGAUAGGGAUAAAAACUCUAUUAACUU
Molecule: transfer RNA, 66 nt
Filed under: Tympanogaster modulatrix
Lineage: Eukaryota; Metazoa; Arthropoda; Insecta; Coleoptera; Hydraenidae
Description: tRNA-Ser
Source: RNAcentral